GGGUCUAUAGUGUAGUGGUUGCACGCUCGAGAUCUAAUUGAGAGGGGCCAGUUCGAUUCUGGCUAGACUUU
Molecule: transfer RNA, 71 nt
Filed under: Stereum hirsutum FP-91666 SS1
Lineage: Eukaryota; Fungi; Basidiomycota; Agaricomycetes; Russulales; Stereaceae
Description: tRNA-Arg (TCT) (tRNA-Arg-TCT-6-1)
Rfam family: tRNA
About the family: Transfer RNA (tRNA) molecules are approximately 80 nucleotides in length. Their secondary structure includes four short double-helical elements and three loops (D, anti-codon, and T loops).
Source: RNAcentral